GGUUGGAUCUCUGCCUUGUGCGGCGACGUCCGAACUUGCUAUCCUCUUCAUUGUUGGCACAAUAUACAUKGGCCGUCUGUCGGUUUCCUGUGUUUCGUACCUACUCGAUGGAAUUCGGUUGUCAAUCUCGUGCAGUUCGCCUUAGACUGYCCGUUAGCUCGGAGCGGUCGCAGGUGAAACUCGAAGAGARAUUCUUGUCCCCCGCACUGCACUCUUUGUGUCGGUAUCGUGGUCCAUGAAUUCUCUCUCGGGCGCUGGGAUGCAGAAAACGAAGAGGGCACGGAGUCAUYGRYUCUUAUCUGUCCGCAAAAGGUGUCAAAGCCUAUUUCGAACGACUUCGGUCCCGUUUCGGUCUCGUGCCGUGCGGGUCGAUGUCYGUGAGGAAUGCUAC
RNAcentral lists this unclassified non-coding RNA (391 nucleotides) under Crusea coccinea. Its description in RNAcentral is "partial external transcribed spacer". Lineage: Eukaryota; Viridiplantae; Streptophyta; Magnoliopsida; Gentianales; Rubiaceae. The record is from RNAcentral.